Molecule: ribosomal RNA, 403 nt
Filed under: bacterium
Lineage: Bacteria
Description: partial 16S ribosomal RNA
Rfam family: Bacterial small subunit ribosomal RNA
Source: RNAcentral
UGGGGAAUAUUGCACAAUGGGGGAAACCCUGAUGCAGCGACGCCGCGUGAACGAAGAAGGUAUUCGUAUCGUAAAGUUCUGUCCUAUGGGAAGAUAAUGACAGUACCAUAGAAGAAAGCUCCGGCUAAAUACGUGCCAGCAGCCGCGGUAAUACGUAUGGAGCGAGCGUUGUCCGGAAUUAUUGGGCGUAAAGGGUACGCAGGCGGUUUAAUAAGUCGAAUGUUAAAGAUCGGGGCUCAACCCCGCAAAGCAUUGGAAACUGAUAAACUUGAGUAGUGAGGAGGAAAGUGGAAUUCCUAGUGUAGUGGUGAAAUACGUAGAUAUUAGGAGGAAUACCAGUAGCGAAGGCGACUUUCUGGACACAAACUGACGCUGAGGUACGAAAGCGUGGGGAGCAAACAGG